This 355-nucleotide ribosomal RNA is filed under the name uncultured bacterium. RNAcentral's name for it is "bacterial SSU rRNA". It matches the Rfam family "Bacterial small subunit ribosomal RNA", at positions 550 to 905 of the family's 1533-position model. The record is from RNAcentral.
AUUACUGGGCGUAAGCGCGCGUAGGUGGCUUGAUAAGCCGGUUGUGAAAGCCCCGGGCUCAACCUGGGAACGGCAUCCGGAACUGUCAAGCUAGAGUGCAGGAGAGGAAGGUAGAAUUCCCGGUGUAGCGGUGAAAUGCGUAGAGAUCGGGAGGAAUACCAGUGGCGAAGGCGGCCUUCUGGACUGACACUGACACUGAGGUGCGAAAGCGUGGGUAGCAAACAGGAUUAGAUACCCUGGUAGUCCACGCCGUAAACGAUGUCGACCAGCCGUUGGGUGCCUAGCGCACUUUGUGGCGAAGUUAACGCGAUAAGUCGACCGCCUGGGGAGUACGGCCGCAAGGUUAAAACUCAAA